GCCAAAGCCCGGAAGCGGCCGAAGGAAACAAACUUUCCCAACAUCGCGGCGGGGAGGGGGGGCGCCCGCAGGAGAAAAGGAAACCCCGCCCCUCCAGGUGGAACCUCCAGCGCCCAGCGCAGCCGGCGGACUCCGGGAAGAGGCGACCGCAAGCCGGGGAUGGGCCAUUGAAAGGGAGAAGCGCCGAGGAGGAGGAAGAGGAGGCGGCAACCAACCGGCCGGGAGAAAAGCCCCCCAGAGACGCCUCGAAGAGAGAGAGAAACCUGCCUUCCUUCCUUCCUUCCUUCCUUCCAAACCGGAGGGCCAUGGGGGCCCCUCAGCCCCUCCAGGCCAAAACGAGGGGUCUCCCCUGCGUCGUUCUGGUGGGGCUCCUGCUGGGUAUCAUUCAGGCUGUGGAAAGUAACCCCUCACGUACGGCUGUUUGUCCAGGUUAUCCCGAUGUCCGGAGAGAACCGCAAGGCCUAAUCCAUAGCCCUUCGGCCCGCGUGACAACUUCCAGCAGCUGUUCCUGGGUGAUCGUGGGUGGCCCGGACGAUAUCAUCUACAUUGGGUUCCAGCACUUCUUCCUUUCCUGUGGGUCGGAAAUGCUGAUAAUCCGUGCACCCAAUCAGCCAUCCAGGAAAUUGUGCGGUUACACAAUGCCAGAAUCGAUUCGCAUAAAGGGUGGCAACGUGACGCUGACUUACAGUUGGAAAUUUUGGGCAAGGAACAGAUUUCUGCUGAAAU
This 726-nucleotide long non-coding RNA is filed under the name Naja naja (Indian cobra). RNAcentral describes it as "lncRNA (ENSNNAG00000004363.1)". The record is from RNAcentral. Lineage: Eukaryota; Metazoa; Chordata; Lepidosauria; Squamata; Elapidae.